ACGCUCGACACCUACUGGAGGCAGCAGUGGGGAAUAUUGCACAAUGGGGGAAACCCUGAUGCAGCGACGCCGCGUGGAGGAAGAAGGUCUUCGGAUUGUAAACUCCUGUUGUUGGGAAAAGAGGAUGGUACCCAACAAGGAAGUGACGGCUAACUACGCGCCAGCAGCCGCGGUAAUCUGAGCGGGCUGGCAAGGC
This 196-nucleotide ribosomal RNA is filed under the name uncultured bacterium. RNAcentral describes it as "partial 16S ribosomal RNA". It matches the Rfam family "Bacterial small subunit ribosomal RNA", at positions 328 to 539 of the family's 1533-position model. The record is from RNAcentral.